RNAcentral lists this ribosomal RNA (496 nucleotides) under uncultured bacterium. RNAcentral's name for it is "partial 16S ribosomal RNA". It matches the Rfam family "Bacterial small subunit ribosomal RNA", at positions 29 to 507 of the family's 1533-position model. The record is from RNAcentral.
AUGCACGCUGGCGGCGUGCCUAAUCCCUGCCAGUCGAGCGAACAGAUAAGGAGCUUGCUCCUCUGACGUUAGCGGCGGACGGGUGAGUAACACGUGGAUAACCUACCUAUAAGACUGGGAUAACUUCGGGAAACCGGAGCUAAUACCGGAUAAUAUAUUGAACCGCAUGGUUCAAUAGUGAAAGACGGUUUUGCUGUCACUUAUAGAUGGAUCCGCGCCGCAUUAGCUAGUUGGUAAGGUAACGGCUUACCAAGGCAACGAUGCGUAGCCGACCUGAGAGGGUGAUCGGCCACACUGGAACUGAGACACGGUCCAGACUCCUACGGGAGGCAGCAGUAGGGAAUCUUCCGCAAUGGGCGAAAGCCUGACGGAGCAACGCCGCGUGAGUGAUGAAGGUCUUCGGAUCGUAAAACUCUGUUAUUAGGGAAGAACAAAUGUGUAAGUAACUAUGCACGUCUUGACGGUACCUAAUCAGAAAGCCACGGCUAACUACGUG